RNAcentral lists this ribosomal RNA (274 nucleotides) under uncultured bacterium. Its description in RNAcentral is "partial 16S ribosomal RNA". It matches the Rfam family "Bacterial small subunit ribosomal RNA", at positions 523 to 796 of the family's 1533-position model. The record is from RNAcentral.
AUACGAAAGGUGCAAGCGUUGUUCGGAUGUACUGGGCGUAAAGAGAGUGUAGGUUGUUUAUUAAGUCGGAUGUGAAAUCCCGGGGCUCAACCUCGGAACUGCAUUCGAUACUGGUAGACUAGAGUUCGGGAGGGGUAAGCGGAAUUCCGUGUGUAGCAGUGAAAUACGUAGAUAUACGGAGGAACACCUGAGGCGAAGGCGGCUUACUGGACCGAUACUGACACUGAGACUCGAAAGCGUGGGUAGCAAACAGGAUUAGAAACCCCGGUAGUCC